GGGGAUGACAGGCAUAGACGGGUAAACUGCUCGUAUGCUCGCAUGGCGGAGCCCCACUACCUCCCUAAACUAGUGGAAGGAUUAAGUGCCAAGAACUUAGUUGCAAAAGCUAAAUCUAUCGUGUCGCCGUACUUCGGCGCUCGCGACUUAGCAUUCGCCUACGCGUUGUCGUAAGCGACGUUUACGGCUCCAAGGUCCGAAACGGAUACGUAAGCGUUAUAAAUUCCGGACUAUAGAUGAAGGAUGUGCUUACUCCUUCGUCCGAAUCUUGAAAAGCUCGGCAACCAAAGAUUUUGUUGGCUUCACACUUUGAUUACUUAAACCGCUCUUAGCGGAUAAAACCAACUACGCCAUGUAGAAGCGCAUAAGACACUUACCUGCACGGGGGUUCGAUUCCCCCCUUCUCCACAU
RNAcentral lists this transfer-messenger RNA (411 nucleotides) under Candidatus Taylorbacteria bacterium RIFCSPLOWO2_02_50_13. It matches the Rfam family "transfer-messenger RNA". Rfam says of the family: Bacterial tmRNA, also known as 10Sa RNA or SsrA, is named for its dual tRNA and mRNA-like properties. The record is from RNAcentral. RNAcentral also lists the same sequence under 2 other names. Lineage: Bacteria; Candidatus Tayloriibacteriota.